This 71-nucleotide transfer RNA is filed under the name Cytospora mali. RNAcentral describes it as "tRNA-Arg". It matches the Rfam family "tRNA". Rfam says of the family: Transfer RNA (tRNA) molecules are approximately 80 nucleotides in length. Their secondary structure includes four short double-helical elements and three loops (D, anti-codon, and T loops). The record is from RNAcentral. Lineage: Eukaryota; Fungi; Ascomycota; Sordariomycetes; Diaporthales; Cytosporaceae.
UUCUCAUUAGCUCAAUGGUAGAGCAAUAUUCUCCUACAAUAUUGAUUUUAGUUCGAAUCUGAAAUGAGAAA